Molecule: ribosomal RNA, 247 nt
Filed under: uncultured bacterium
Lineage: Bacteria
Description: partial 16S ribosomal RNA
Rfam family: Bacterial small subunit ribosomal RNA
Source: RNAcentral
AGAUGGCGACCGGCGCACGGGUGAGUAACACGUAUCCAACCUGCCGAUAACUCGGGGAUAGCCUUUCGAAAGAAAGAUUAAUACCCGAUGGUAUAAUCAGACCGCAUGGUCUUGUUAUUAAAGAAUUUCGGUUAUCGAUGGGGGUGCGUUCCAUUAGGCAGUUGGUGAGGUAACGGCUCACCAAACCUUCGAUGGAUAGGGGUUCUGAGAGGAAGGUCCCCCACAUUGGAACUGAGACACGGUCCAA